AUGGAAAUGACAGGAGGACAAGAAGGUUGUCCAGCAAUAGGAAAACAAGUUGCUCGCAAGUCGUUCCUCUUUAAAGACUACUCCAGUCGGCGUGUCAGUCAGUCCAGGCAGCGGCUGUGGGAGGAGCUCCUCGGGAGGAGGCUGGCGAGGCUGAGAGAGCCAGGGAAUGGAGCGGAGAAGAGCGCGUACAUGAGCGAAGAGGAGGUAGGCGCCGGGAGAGCGAGCGAGGCUGAGCAACUAAACUCCAUCUCCGCCUUAGCAGCAGAAGCAGGAGCCGCCGCCGCCGCCGCUAUUGCUGCCAACCCAGCGAACGCUUCGCCGGUGUGUAGGAAGAGGGCUUCGGCAAGAGAAGAAGGCAGGCGAGAGCAUCGGGAGGCAGAUAAAGCUAGCCCCCGAAACUGCUUAAGCGCGCAAGUUCGUCUCUCUUAUUUCCCCGCCGAACUCUUAAGGAAUGAAAGCUUUUCAGACAGAUCUCGUCCUCCUCUGCUUCUUCCUCUUCAGUCAAGUUGCUCUUCCCUCCCUCCCUCUUACAAUGACAAGCGUGCAAGUAAAGUUGGAAUGAAAGCACAUGGAAGAGCUGCCCCCCUUCAUUAGUUUAGCCUGUGUUGCUGUCCAAAAUGUCUGUGGAGGGCAGUGGGGUUGCAAAGGCUGCCCUAGAGUAAGUCCUUGCAGCUUUUUACAAGAUUAAUGUACACUGAAUGCAAACUAUAAUGAAACCACUGCUUUAUUGUGUUGUUAUAUGAUUGUGAUGGAUUGUUUGUUGUUUAUGUGCUGGUUGCUUUGUUUUUUUUAACAAAGUAAUAGUUUAAAUAGUUUUUUUUCUGUAUUGUUUGUAAGUUUGUGUACUCUCUGUUAGCUGCUAUGUUGAAGACACAUUUCUAAAAAGGAGGAUGCAAGUAUAUUAAAAAUAAAUGAAUGAACAACCUUCUUUUGUUGUGGUGUUGGAAAUUAUUACAAUUAAUUUAUUAAAGUGUGAUUUACAAGUAAGAUAACUGAAAACACAAAACAACAAAAAAUGAAAAGACUAAAAACCUAAAAAUAAUAAUAUUACAUUCAUAUUAAAGACCCAUCUAAGAAGCAGGGAAAACUUGUUGUAACAAAAUUAUCUUCACCUUUUUUCAGAAAGUGGAGAUAGUGAGUGCCUAUCAUAUCUCGACAGGGAUUAUAUCCCAAAGAUUGGUUAGGGAUAUACAUUUUGUUCAUAGGCACCAACUCUACGGGGCCAGGGGCCAUUGUCCCCCCCCAAUAAUUCUCUUAGGAGGGCACGGUGCCCUCAAUAUUUUUCCUUACCUACCCACCUUCCUGCUUCCCUCUCUCCCUCACUCAGUCUGCUGCCUCCCCACCCCCAGCUGGUUGCUACCCUCUGUUUCUGACUUGUUUCCAGGACGAGCAAGGGAGAGAGCAGUGGCCACAGGUCUGGAAAUGUGUGCAGUGUGUACCUGACUACCCCCUCCCCACAUGGCUACCAGUCGCUCCUUCCUCUGCUUGCUCCCUUGCUCCCUCCGUGCAGCUUGGCAUGGAGCAGGCCAGCAGGAUUGCACAGACAGGUGGGCAUGCUAGCAGAGGCAGCGCUGUCCUGUGGCAGGGACAGCAGCCCCUUUGGGGACCACCAGCCAAACUACCACAGUAGCCACCUGAGCGCCGAUGAUCAUGUCUGACCAGCGGGCCUAAGAGAAUCUGGUGAUAUUCUGUGGGGAGGCAGCUGACCAAGGGAGGGAGAGACAGAGAGAGAGGCAGGCAAAGUGGCCAUGGUGCCACUGUUGCUGCCACCACCAACCGUCUGUGCUCACUGUGCCUGCCUGGGCACAUGCUCGCCCGACCCCCAGGCCAGAAGGAGCAGGGUGUGUCAAGGGAACAGAAGCGGAGAGUGGGACAGGGCAAAGCAGCCCCCUCCAAUGUUUCGUUCACACUGGCGCCACUGAUUUUGGAGGCACUGAUUUUGCUCAUCUCCAUGAUCCUUAAACAUAACCCAAACUCAGGGCUAUUUCUCUCCCUCCACCCCGUGUUUUCUCCCAAGCUUGACUUGUAAUCUGAACUUCAUUAUGUUACAUUUAAAGCUGCCCCAAAUGACUACGUAUGAGCCGCCUUCAGAUGUUCAAGCUUCACAUGAAUAGGGGGAGAGGAAAGAUGAGCCUGCUAGCUACACACACACACACACACACACACACACACACACUUACACUUCUCCAUUCCAUCAUUUUUGUGACCUCUGUUGCCUUCCAUGUGUUUGUAAGGGAGCUACUGCAGCAGGGAGUCUGUUAUACUGUACUCAUGUAUAAUAGGAAAAGGAUAAUAGGAUACUUUUAUAAAAGGAUAAUACGAACUGUAGUUUGUUAAGGGUGCUGGAAAGUAUAGUUUUGGGGUAAACUAUUGGUUCCCUGAUUUUGGGGGGUGAAUCGUGAAAGGUAAAGUGGUAUGAAUGUGCUUCAAAUGUAUGGUGGUGCAGAUGUGACAAAAACCCAGAAGAUCAAGAUAUCAAGAUCAAAUAUGGAUGAGUGAAUCCUGAAAUGUAGAGAAGUUUAGAGAAAAUGUUGGUUGUUUAAAACAACAACAACCUUAAAUGCAGGCCUCUGUGGCACUUGAUUUCUUUUUAAAAGAUUACUAUAAGUUAUUGAUUUUGGCAGAGGCAAAAGAUAGCUUUUAACAGGGCCCUCAAUGCACCUACCACAUGAUAGCUAGUUGCUGAUGGGGUAGGGAGUUAGGGCUGUACCUAAUUCUCUACUUUUGGUGUUUGUCUUAAAAGCAACAGAGCCUCCAAAAUAAAGCACUGCAUGCUCCAUUCCCCCUUUGAAAUAAUGAUACUGCCACCUCCCACUCUCCCAAUUAACAAUGGUGGUCCAUGAUUAUGCCUUCUCUUUGUGUUGUCCUAUAGAUCAUGUUUAUUAUGUUGAUACAAACCCUUUGAUAUUGUAAUUGUGAUGUACACAUUAUGAAGACAAAUGUGUUGAGCUUAAUGAGAAUGGAUUGCCAAUAAAAGCUGAAAACAAGGGAAACGUGUUCGUUGUUUUUUUUUAAGCAGUAGCCAUCUCAUAGGGGAGGGUUGUUUUUUUUAGAAGAAAAGGGUUUGGGAUAGAGAUUUUGGAAGAAAAGCACCCUGAAUGCAAAUAAUAUAUUACUAGGCUGGUGGUGCUAAAUUAUUGAUAUCAGUAGCUUCUUAAUUACGAGAAAGAGAGAGAGAGAGAGGUCACCUUGAGUAGCUUUGCAUGGAAACCGCUGUGGGCUCAAGAAAGAUGAGAGGAAAGGGCAGUCACUUCACGACAGAGCACAAAUUUGGUAUGCAAAUUAUCCCAGUAUCAAACUUUGGCAUCUCCGUGGGGAUGGGAAAGACUUGCACCAGUUAGCUUGGAUUGGAUUUCCCCAACCUGAUGCCCACCAGAUGUUGCUGAACUUCAACUACCAACACCCUUGACCACUGGCUAUACUGGCUGAGGCUUAUAGAAGUUGAAUUCCAAAACAUCUGGAGGGCACCAGGUUGGGAAAAGUUGGUUCAGACAGUUUUGACCUGGAUGGGCCAGUGUUCUGACUUGGGAAUAUAAGAAGCUGAGAAGUAGUCCUGCAGUCUAUGUGUUUUUGUUCCUGGGGGAUCUGAUUUUGCAUAGGCCACACCCUAGACCAGUAUUUCUUGAGAAGUCCAUCUGUCAAUGGCCAGUUCGUUUAUCUGCUCCAAGCUUUGCUUGUCAGUGAAUAGAGGAAUAUUUCAUAUGCUAGAGCAGGACUAGUAAGGUUUCGGUUGUUGUGUUUCCAUAUGGCACCGUAUUUGGGAAGCAACAUUAUUUUCAUCCCACUGCUCUUCCCGGUGGACUGCAAACAUCUUUGUUUCCUGUUGACUAAAGAGUGCCUCGUUUUGUUUGGUAACACCUGUUGUGGGGAUGCAGACGUCCCCUGCCUGUCUCCUGAAACUUGGCAAAAACUGAGGAAAUGGGAAUCCCUCACAUGCUGUGUUAAAUAAAAUGUUGAGAAGGAACAUGAUUUUGCAUGCAAACCUUAAGUGCCCAUUAGAGAGAGAUAAAUGGAUAAAUCUGUGUUUUUGUGGUCCUUGUCACUUUCUCUUGUGUACAUGCC
RNAcentral lists this long non-coding RNA (4062 nucleotides) under Podarcis muralis (Common wall lizard). RNAcentral describes it as "lncRNA (ENSPMRG00000021342.1)". Lineage: Eukaryota; Metazoa; Chordata; Lepidosauria; Squamata; Lacertidae. The record is from RNAcentral.